UUAGUUGCAAACUUUGUGAAGUGUGGUAUACUAACUAUGUCGCCGCAAGGUGGCUAUAGUGAUAAACGGCUUACGUAAUAGGCUGUAUGGACCAGGGGGCAGUACCCUGCGCCUCCGCCAAAGAUUUGUUUUGGGGGCGAAAUAGGUUCGACAUACUGCGGUAAAGGUAUUUCUUUCACUCGGCAUUGUACCAUCGUUAUCGGGCUACUAAAAAUAAAUGCUAACCUAAACAGGAAAGGCAGACUCGUACGCAACCUUCGCAGGAGGCGUAGGGCAAAGAAGGCCGCUUAAACUACCCGUAUGGGCUUUGAGCAUCUUGUUUGCUUGCUGUUUUCGUAAGAAAGCAGUAGAGUAGCGGUUUGGGGGACCCCGGGCAACAGAAUUCCCCCGCU
This 392-nucleotide transfer-messenger RNA is filed under the name Holosporales bacterium. It matches the Rfam family "Alphaproteobacteria transfer-messenger RNA". Rfam says of the family: Bacterial tmRNA, also known as 10Sa RNA or SsrA, is named for its dual tRNA and mRNA-like properties. Its role is to liberate the mRNA from a stalled ribosome. To accomplish this part of the tmRNA is used as a reading frame that ends in a translation stop signal. Lineage: Bacteria; Pseudomonadati; Pseudomonadota; Alphaproteobacteria; Holosporales. The record is from RNAcentral.